AUUGAACGCUGGCGGCAGGCCUAACACAUGCAAGUCGAACGGUAACAGGAAGAAGCUUGCUUCUUUGCUGACGAGUGGCGGACGGGUGAGUAAUGUCUGGGAAACUGCCUGAUGGAGGGGGAUAACUACUGGAAACGGUAGCUAAUACCGCAUAAUGUCGCAAGACCAAAGAGGGGGACCUUCGGGCCUCUUGCCAUCGGAUGUGCCCAGAUGGGAUUAGCUAGUAGGUGGGGUAACGGCUCACCUAGGCGACGAUCCCUAGCUGGUCUGAGAGGAUGACCAGCCACACUGGAACUGAGACACGGUCCAGACUCCUACGGGAGGCAGCAGUGGGGAAUAUUGCACAAAGGGCGCAAGCCUGAUGCAGCUAUGCCGCGUGUAUGAAGAAGGCCUUCGGGUUGUAAAGUACUUUCAGCGGGGAGGAAGGGAGUAAAGUUAAUACCUUUGCUCAUUGACGUUACCCGCAGAAGAAGCACCGGCUAGCUCCGUG
This 490-nucleotide ribosomal RNA is filed under the name uncultured bacterium. Its description in RNAcentral is "partial 16S ribosomal RNA". It matches the Rfam family "Bacterial small subunit ribosomal RNA", at positions 30 to 507 of the family's 1533-position model. The record is from RNAcentral.